This 497-nucleotide ribosomal RNA is filed under the name uncultured bacterium. Its description in RNAcentral is "partial 16S ribosomal RNA". It matches the Rfam family "Bacterial small subunit ribosomal RNA", at positions 28 to 507 of the family's 1533-position model. The record is from RNAcentral.
GAUGAACGCUGGCGGCGUGCCUAAUACAUGCAAGUCGAGCGAACAGACGAGGAGCUUGCUCCUCUGACGUUAGCGGCGGACGGGUGAGUAACACGUGGAUAACCUACCUAUAAGACUGGGAUAACUUCGGGAAACCGGAGCUAAUACCGGAUAAUAUAUUGAACCGCAUGGUUCAAUAGUGAAAGACGGUUUUGCUGUCACUUAUAGAUGGAUCCGCGCCGCAUUAGCUAGUUGGUAAGGUAACGGCUUACCAAGGCAACGAUGCGUAGCCGACCUGACAGGGUGAUCGGCCACACUGGAACUGAGACACGGUCCAGACUCCUACGGGAGGCAGCAGUAGGGAAUCUUCCGCAAUGGGCGAAAGCCUGACGGAGCAACGCCGCGUGAGUGAUGAAGGUCUUCGGAUCGUAAAACUCUGUUAUUAGGGAAGAACAAAUGUGUAAGUAACUAUGCACGUCUUGACGGUACCUAAUCAGAAAGCCACGGCUAACUACGUG